This 503-nucleotide ribosomal RNA is filed under the name uncultured bacterium. Its description in RNAcentral is "partial 16S ribosomal RNA". It matches the Rfam family "Bacterial small subunit ribosomal RNA", at positions 28 to 523 of the family's 1533-position model. The record is from RNAcentral.
GAUGAACGCUAGCGGCAGGCCUAACACAUGCAAGUCGAGGGGUAGCAGGAUUAAGCUUGCUUAAUUGCUGACGACCGGCGCACGGGUGCGUAACGCGUAUGCAACCUACCUUAUACUGGGGUAUAGCCCGGAGAAAUUCGGAUUAAUCCCCCAUAGUACUAAUGAAUCGCAUGGUUUAUUAGUUAAAGCAUUGCGGUAUAAGAUGGGCAUGCGUCCUAUUAGCUAGAUGGUGAGGUAACGGCUCACCAUGGCUACGAUAGGUAGGGGGCCUGAGAGGGUGGUCCCCCACGCUGGAACUGAGACACGGACCAGACUCCUACGAGAGGCAGCAGUGAGGAAUAUUGGUCAAUGGGCGCAAGCCUGAACCAGCCAUGCCGCGUGCAGGAAGAAUGCCCUAUGGGUUGUAAACUGCUUUUAUUUGGGAAUAAACCUCUUUACGUGUAGAGGGCUGAAGGUACCAAAUGAAUAAGCACCGGCUAACUCCGUGCCAGCCGCCGCCGUAA